CCUACGGUAGGCAGCAGUGGGGAAUAUUGCGCAAUGGGCGAAAGCCUGACGCAGCGACGCCGCGUGAGGGAUGAAGGUCUUCGGAUCGUAAACCUCUGUCAGCAGGGAAGAACGGUCACUGUGCUAAUCAGCAGUGAAUUGACGGUACCUGCAAAGGAAGCACCGGCUAACUCCGUGCCAGCCGCCUCGGUGAUACGGAGGGUGCGAGCGUUAAUCGGAAUUACUGGGCGUAAAGCGCUCGUAGGCGGUAUGUCAAGGCAAGGGUGAAAUCCCCGCGCUCAACGUGGGAACUGCCUUUGAAACUGGCAAACUGGAGUGUGUGAGAGGAUAGUGGAAUUCCGGGGGUAGGAGUGAAAUCCGUAGAUAUCUGGAGGAACAUCAGUGGCGAAGGGGACUAUCUGGCACAUAACUGACGCUGAGGAGCGAAAGCGUGGGUAGCAAACAGGAUUAGAUACCCUUGUAGUC
This 465-nucleotide ribosomal RNA is filed under the name uncultured bacterium. Its description in RNAcentral is "partial 16S ribosomal RNA". It matches the Rfam family "Bacterial small subunit ribosomal RNA", at positions 338 to 795 of the family's 1533-position model. The record is from RNAcentral.